GUCUGAAAUUCCAAAAUGAAAUAAUAUGAAAUAAUAUUUAUUAGUACGUGUAGGGGCUGGGUAACAUGGUCAAAGUUACAGAGGCAGAAAACCAUAAGGUGUCUCACAGAAACUGAAUAUACUCAUUUAACUGUGACAGAUGGCUCAUGUGAAAAAGUAGCAAAGGAGAAGCUUCAUUCGUUCUAUUAGUGUUAGAAUGUGCUAUGGAAUCUGGAUUUUAUUAUGAUUGCAAAAGGAUGGUAUUGAAAACUUCGGAGUGGAAAAUGACAUUCUGAAGUAUUUUGAGAAUAUGAAUCUGCCUGUGGAGUACAGAAUGGACAUAGGUAAGAAGAGGCCUGGAGCCACAACUUUGUCAAAAGGGCACAAAUAGAGUCUGAGAGAAAGAGGGCUUGAGACAGAAUGGAAACAAUGGGAAAGAUGGAAUGGACUCUGGAGGCAAUGAACUGAGAACGGAUCUGACCUCUGUGGCAAGGGGAGAGGAGCUGCUCGACUGAUCCAAAACAUGGAUGCCACCGCUGAGCCUUGUACAGACUUUUUCAAAUAUGCUUGCGGAGGCUGGUUGAAACGUAAUGUCAUUCCCGAGACGAGCUCCCGUUACGGCAACUUUGACAUUUUAAGAGAUGAACUAGAAGUCGU
Molecule: small RNA, 636 nt
Filed under: Pan troglodytes (chimpanzee)
Lineage: Eukaryota; Metazoa; Chordata; Mammalia; Primates; Hominidae
Description: processed transcript
Source: RNAcentral